UACCCCACAAAAUAAUGUACAAUUUAUAAUCCCUUCUUCAACAUACCUUUUUUCUUAGCUAAGAUAAGAGAAAAAUCUAAAAACUAAGAACAUGAAAAGAAGAAUAAAAUGUAAUAUCAUAAAAAAGAACAAUAACCCUCACCCCCAACUUCUUUUCUUGUUCUCAUUUAUUUACCUACUCUCAAAUUCCAUAAAUAAUAUUUCAAUGUCUUAACAAAUAACACACCCACUUGGAGACUCUUCCACAGUUUGGUAAUAGUAAUAAGGAUAUGGUUGUCUCAUUUGAUUAUAAUGUGUUUCAAAAGCCUUCACAAGAUCAGCCAAUUCUUCUUUUGGGUCCUUUUUAUUUGGCUCUUCCUUCUUGUCUUCUUCUUUCUUUUGUUCAUCUUUUUUCUCUUCUUUGGCUGGUCCAACAGAAACUAUUUCAGCAUGACAUAGUUUUCUUAACUUUCCCACCACAUCAACAGUAUCUAUGUCUCCAACUAAUGUUAGUUUUUGAUCCUUCAUGUCCACUGAAACAGACUCAACCCCUAAAAAAGGAAAUAACAAAAACAAUUAUAAAAAAAUACUUUAUUCCAUUUUUCUUCCUUGAUUUUUAGAGUAUAAAAAAGUACUCCCAAAAUAAGUGACUUUGUUUGAUUAUUAUACUAUUCACAGAACGUUCUUUGACCAUCACAUAUAAGAUAUUGUAUUUGUCUCGAUGAAUAUUUUUAUAAUUUUUACUAAUACAUUAUUGAAAAUAUUGAAGAUCAAAGAUGUACUUUGACACGUGUGCAACUGUAAACAAAAAUAUAUAUCAAAUUUUCAUAUAAUUAUUAGAUGACUAGAUGUUGAAAUUCCAUACCUGAAAGACCAGAUACUGUCUUCAUGGCUUUUUUCUUGAUUCUAUCAUCAUAGAGUUCUACCUUUAGCACUAUUUUCUGUUAAAGACAAAUGAAAGAGCUUUUAAUUAUUAUAAUUUCUAACCAUGAAAAAUUUAAAGAUAAUCUCCAAUUGAAUACUCAAAAGGGAAAUUAAAGAACAAAAAUAUUUAAAAAGGCAUCUAAUUUGAUUACCAAAACUUGAUCUCAAACUUUGAGUAUAAAAAAU
RNAcentral lists this long non-coding RNA (1089 nucleotides) under Medicago truncatula (barrel medic). RNAcentral describes it as "lncRNA gene35985". The record is from RNAcentral. Lineage: Eukaryota; Viridiplantae; Streptophyta; Magnoliopsida; Fabales; Fabaceae.